CACGGGUGAGUAACACGUAUCCAACCUGCCGUCUACUCUUGGCCAGCCUUCUGAAAGGAAGAUUAAUCCAGGAUGGGAUCAUGAGUUCACAUGUCCGCAUGAUUAAAGGUAUUUUCCGGUAGACGAUGGGGAUGCGUUCCAUUAGAUAGUAGGCGGGGUAACGGCCCACCUAGUCAACGAUGGAUAGGGGUUCUGAGAGGAAGGUCCCCCACAUUGGAACUGAGACACGGCCCAA
This 235-nucleotide ribosomal RNA is filed under the name uncultured bacterium. RNAcentral describes it as "partial 16S ribosomal RNA". It matches the Rfam family "Bacterial small subunit ribosomal RNA", at positions 102 to 334 of the family's 1533-position model. The record is from RNAcentral.